RNAcentral lists this ribosomal RNA (497 nucleotides) under uncultured bacterium. RNAcentral's name for it is "partial 16S ribosomal RNA". It matches the Rfam family "Bacterial small subunit ribosomal RNA", at positions 28 to 507 of the family's 1533-position model. The record is from RNAcentral.
GAUGAACGCUGGCGGCGUGCCUAAUACAUGCCAGUCGAGCGAACAGACGAGGAGCUUGCUCCUCUGACGUUAGCGGCGGACGGGUGAGUAACACGUGGAUAACCUACCUAUAAGACUGGGAUAACUUCGGGAAACCGGAGCUAAUACCGGAUAAUAUAUUGAACCGCAUGGUUCAAUAGUGAAAGACGGUUUUGCUUUCACUUAUAGAUGGAUCCGCGCCGCAUUAGCUAGUUGGUAAGGUAACGGCUUACCAAGGCGACGAUGCGUAGCCGACCUGGAAGGGUGAUCGGCCACACUGGAACUGGGACACGGUCCAGACUCCUACGGGAGGCAGCAGUAGGGAAUCUUCCGCAAUGGGCGAAAGCCUGACGGAGCAACGCCGCGUGAGUGAUGAAGGUCUUCGGAUCGUAAAACUCUGUUAUUAGGGAAGAACAAAUGUGUAAGUAACUAUGCACGUCUUGACGGUACCUAAUCAGAAAGCCACGGCUAACUACGUG